RNAcentral lists this small RNA (30 nucleotides) under Bombyx mori (domestic silkworm). RNAcentral describes it as "ovarian small RNA-11111". The record is from RNAcentral. Lineage: Eukaryota; Metazoa; Arthropoda; Insecta; Lepidoptera; Bombycidae.
ACAGCUACCUUGGAGGGCAUCUCCUCCGCC